GAUGAACGCUGGCGGCGUGCCUAAUACAUGCAAGUCGAGCGAACAGACGAUGAGCUUGCUCCUCUGACGUUAGCGGCGGACGGGUGAGUAACACGUGGAUAACCUACCUAUAAGACUGGGAUAACUUCGGGAAACCGGAGCUAAUACCGCAUAAUAUAUUGAACCGCAUGGUUCAAUAGUGAAAGACGGUUUUGCUGUCACUUAUAGAUGGAUCCGCGCCGCAUUAGCUAGUUGGUAAGGUAACGGCUUACCAAGGCGACGAUGCGUAGCCGACCUGAGAGGGUGAUCGGCCACACUGGAACUGAGACACGGUCCAGACUCCUACGGGAGGCAGCAGUAGGGAAUCUUCCGCAAUGGGCGAAAGCCUGACGGAGCAACGCCGCGUGAGUGAUGAAGGUCUUCGGAUCGUAAAACUCUGUUAUUAGGGAAGAACAAAUGUGUAAGUAAAUAUGCACGUCUUGACGGUACCUAAUCAGAAAGCAACGGCUAACUACGUG
Molecule: ribosomal RNA, 497 nt
Filed under: uncultured bacterium
Lineage: Bacteria
Description: partial 16S ribosomal RNA
Rfam family: Bacterial small subunit ribosomal RNA
Source: RNAcentral